Molecule: ribosomal RNA, 111 nt
Filed under: Danio rerio (zebrafish)
Lineage: Eukaryota; Metazoa; Chordata; Actinopteri; Cypriniformes; Danionidae
Source: RNAcentral
GGCCACAUCCAUAUCGCCCUGCAGCCUGGCUACUCACUGAAGCUAAGCAGGGCUGAGCCUGAUCAGUACCUGGAUGGGAGACCAUAUGGGAAAACUAGGUUACUGUUGGAA